This 1804-nucleotide long non-coding RNA is filed under the name Gallus gallus (chicken). RNAcentral describes it as "lncRNA (ENSGALG00010008610.1)". Lineage: Eukaryota; Metazoa; Chordata; Aves; Galliformes; Phasianidae. The record is from RNAcentral.
CUGGCAAUUGAUCUCAGUUAAAGUUGACUUGAGCAUCUCUAAGCUAUGGCAGUGUGUGUCUAAUCAUACUCUGCGGUCACUAAAAAUCUACCAGUAUUUGGUAGGACACUUCAAAAGAGCAUGGAAUACUUCAUUCCUUGGCCAGUAGCCAUCAUGUCUCAGUACUUAAACCUAUGUGCAGCUCUGUUGUUUUUGUUCACAUGGGGCUAGCAAGUGUUUGUUCUGGUUCGAGUCCAUAAAGUUUGCACAUUUGAGUUUCAGUUUGAGGUUUUGAGUUCAGUGAAACAUCAAGUCUUGCCUGGCUUUUGGGUUGAAACCUCAAGCCUAAUGAUAAUGUUUUCUCCAGCUGCAGAUUUUGAAGUGAGGGGUCAUUGAAAAACAAACCCCAAGCCCUAAUACUUGCUGAGAACCAUCAAAUGGACCACUCUCUGCAGAAUUUAGCAAUUGUAUUUUUCUGUCAAAAUUAGCAACACUAUUUUACUGAUAUGCACAUUACUGGUGACAUUCUGCUUCAACUGAAGUUAAAGUAUUCCUGUUUUUUCCGUUCCUCCUUCCUGGACAGUGCUGUUUAGUCCUACACAGCGGUGGCAGUUCUUGGGUACAAUACAUGAGAAGUUAAUGGUUUGUGAAACCGUUGGCCAGGUUCUUGUUUAAAUCCUGUUACUUUUGCCCAGUUUAUGCAGUGCCAGUUCUGUGCUUAACCAGUGUGAAGCUCUGCUUGCUUUGAUUUAAGGAUGUGAGCCCCAAAAGGGACUUUUCACAAAGGGUAAAAUGGGUGCUCAAAAGAUGAUUAGAUAACUGGUUGCUAACACUUGAGGUCUUGAUCCCUUUAGCAGUGCAACUCUCCCUCAGUUGGGAUCUAGUGUUUCAUUUUCAGUGAAAUUCAAUGAAUCUUAGACUCAUAGGGGUCUAUGUUAUAGUGGUACUGUACCAAGCAGAUAAUUAGCCAUACAAAGAAGCAUACCAAAUCUGGUUGAAAAGCACCUGAAAAUCAUUCGCCAGUGUUCAGUAGCCUUUAAGGAAUCACAGAAUGGCUUUGGUUGGAAGGGACCUUACAGAUCAUCUAGUUCCAUUCACUCUGCCAUGGGUGCAGUUGCCACCCACUAGAUCAGGGGCUGCCCAGGGUCCCAUCCAACCUGACCAUGAACACUUCCAGGGAUGGGGCACCUACAGCUUCUCUGAGCAGCCUGUGCCAGAACCUCACCACCGUCUGAGUAAAGAAUUUCUUUCCAGUUUCUAAUGUAAAUCUCCCCUCUUUUAAUUUAAAACCAUUCCCCCUUGUCCUGUCACUAUCUGUCCAGGUGAAAAGUUGGCUCCCUGCUGUUUAUAUACUCCCCUCAAGUACUGGAAAACUGCAAUUAGGUCUCCCCAGAGCCUUCUCUUAAGUUGAACAAGCCCAGUUGCCUCAGUCUGUCUUCAUACGAGAUGCGCUCCAGCCUUCUGAUCAUCUUUCUGUGCAUCUUUUUUGUGCUGGGGUCCUUUUGUCCUGGGUGCAGUGCUCCUGGCAGGUCCUUAGGAGAACAGAGCAGAGGUGGACAAUCACCUCCCUCUCCCUGCUGGCCACCCCUCUUUUGAUGCAGCCUAGUAUACAAUUGGCCUUUUGGCCUGCAAGAGCACACUGCUGGAUCAUGUCCAGCUUUUUGUUUGACAGAACCUCCAACUCCUUCUCUGUGGGGCUACUCUCAGCGUGUUCUUUUCCUGUUCUGUACACAUAUCUGGAAUUGUCCCAAACCAAGUGCAGCACUUUUCACUUCACUUAGCUGAAUCUUACUUGGUUCAUGUGAGCCCACUUCUCAAGCUUGUC